RNAcentral lists this transfer RNA (85 nucleotides) under Holosporales bacterium. Its description in RNAcentral is "tRNA-Leu". It matches the Rfam family "tRNA". Rfam says of the family: Transfer RNA (tRNA) molecules are approximately 80 nucleotides in length. Their secondary structure includes four short double-helical elements and three loops (D, anti-codon, and T loops). The record is from RNAcentral. Lineage: Bacteria; Pseudomonadati; Pseudomonadota; Alphaproteobacteria; Holosporales.
GCGGCUGUGGCGAAAUUGGUAGACGCGCAGCGUUGAGGUCGCUGUGGGGCAACCUGUGGAAGUUCGACUCUUCUCGGCCGCACCA